RNAcentral lists this microRNA precursor (168 nucleotides) under Gossypium arboreum. RNAcentral's name for it is "MIR7502 microRNA precursor family". It matches the Rfam family "MIR7502 microRNA precursor family". The record is from Rfam by way of RNAcentral. Lineage: Eukaryota; Viridiplantae; Streptophyta; Magnoliopsida; Malvales; Malvaceae.
UGUUAAAAAAAUUCGUCCAUUUAUAUUGUUAAAAAUUGGCAUGGCUAACAGAAUAAUUAGAUAGUUACAUGUGACGUGCCACAUGUACCUAUUGCUAAUAUACAACAAUACCUCUUGCUAAUAUACAACAAUCAAUUUUGAAAUGUAGAAUGAAUGAAAUUUUUAACA